GUCAUAUUAACUCACUUAAGCAGCCAGAUAUAUAGAUGGCACUCAAUUUUCUUCUGAACACCUAACAUUCACCCAAUUGUUACGUAUUUGAGGACUUCCUUUAUAGAUUAUGGUAAGAUAUAUAUGAUCUAUAGAUUGAUAUCAGGACUAUAAUGUAUGUGGGGCAGCAUCUGUUCUCCAGAAAUGCUCAAAAUUAAAAUGAUUAAGAUCUUAAGAAAGUGUUCAGAAAUAAAAUGUUUUGAAUGAAAACAGCAAUGAAUCAUUGUCAUAGAGAGCUUUCAGAGUUGUCAAUGACUAAACAGCACAGAUCCCCCAAAAGGAAUUAGCAGAUGCAAAAGGCUUUGUUUCAGGUUUGGUUCAAAGAGGUUCCCAGAUUUGGAAAAUGCAUAUUAGAAUUACCUGAGCUUCUCUAGCAAGCACAUCAUAUAAUAAUUUCACAAGUAGUGGCUGUUUUCUUAAGAUUUCUGGAAAUUACUGUCCUGACUGACCUUAAUAUGAGAACAUUUUGGUGAUAUUUCAACAUUUCUGGUUCUGGCAGCAAAAUGUGGAAAAAGAAUCAUCACCUUACGCUUAGUUGAAUGUUUCUUUAAAUAAAAGGCUUAGUUUGCAUUUGGUUGUGAUGCAGUAUGGAGAAUGUGAGACCGUUUUUUCCAAACAAGAUUGCUCAUUCCUACAGGAAAUGACCUCAUUCUUGAUGGCUGCUGCUAACUUAUGGUGAGAUGCUGGGUCCCUGCCCAAUACCACAUGGACAUCCAAUCAAUUUACCCAGGGACAAGUCCACUCAAGAGCAUCAUUUAGAAGAGGGAAAAGGCACUGGGGUUAUUUGUUUUUGGAGUAUGUGCUUAAGGAAAUCUAGAGUAUUCCCACGAGCAUUCUGCUGAGAUGAACAAUCAGAUGACCUCGUGUGAGAUUUGGAGGAGAGAAGGAAAUGGAGAGCAUGCGUCUGCCGCUUCUGUGGUUUCUGUCGGUAAGCACAGUGAUGAGGUGCUGAGUUUUCCCCAGAAGGCCUCCCAGUGUCCUAUUACCAGCUUCACAAGCGUCGAGGGCAGGGCAUGGGCAUCUAUUGUUCACCAGUGGAGAUCUAUCUGGCACAGAACCGAUCCAACCAUUGCAGUGGUCACAGCGGUGUUGGCUUUCUGAUUCUCAACCUUCCUGACCGCCAGAGGAGACAGCCUCUUUGGUGGCCCUGUUCUGUGGUAUUGUGCUAACCGGUGGUGGGACUAAAACUGUCUCUAUAAUGUUUUAUUUCUUAAAAAAAAAUUCUGAAGCAAAUGUGACAAUAUGUUAACAUUCUUAAAAUCUGGGUAGUGGGAACAUGGAUGUUGUUAUUUGUGGUGUGUUUGAAAUUGUGUCAUAUUAUAAAUUUUAAAAAAAUGUUUUGACUACAAAAUCUCUAUGUAUAUGCCCAGUUUUUGUAGAUUGUUGCUUACGCUUUUCAUAUUUUUACCCAAGGAGUAAUCAGGAAUUCUAAAAGUCUUAUGUAACAGGAUUUAAAAUAAAAUUACACAGAAUCUCAACUGUACUAUAUUUUGAAAAUAUGAAUGAUUAAGAUUAUUUUUUAUAUUUUUAUUAAUAUAGAGAAAAUAAUUUCUAUAAAAUAUGCUUUCAGCUAAUGGGGGAUCCCAUUCCAUAUUUUUUUCUUUUUCUUUUUUUUUUUUAUUUCUCCAAGAAAAACUCAUUCCAGUUCUUUUGCAUUAAAUUCUCUUAUACCAAAAAAAUUGUUUCAAAAGUUGCUUAGUUGUUAUAGAAGAUGAUUGCUUAUAUGAUAAAGAAAUGUUAAGGCCUUGAUAAUAUUCAAAAGCUUCUGUAUAAAAACAAUACCAUGGAAAUUAAUGACAGAGUAAACUUUCUGAAUUAAAGUUCUCUUUCAAACUAUGAGUAAGAGGAGAAUUAGCUGGCUUCUUUUUUCUUUUUUUUGAGGCAGGGUCUUGCUCUGUCACCCAGGCUCAAUCACAGCUCACUGCAGCCUUGACCUCCUGGGCUCAGGUGAUUUUCCCACCUUAGCCUCCUGAGUAGCUGGGACCACAGGCAUGAGCCACCACACCUGGCUAAUUUUUGUAUUAUUUUGGUAGAGAUGGGAUUUCGCCAUGUUGCCCAAGCUGGUCACAAACUUCCUGCCUUGGCCUCCCAAAGUGCUGGGAUUACAGGCAUGAGCCACUAUGCCCAACCUCAGUUGGAUGGGUUUGUGUGUAUGUGUGUGUGUGUUUUGUUUGUUUUUUAGUUUUUGAGACAGAGUCUCACUCUGUCACCCAGGCUGGAGUGCAGUGGCACAAUCACGGCUCACUGCAGCCAUGACCUCUUGUGCUCAGGCAGUUCUCCUGCCUCAGCCUCCUUAGUAGCUGGAACCACAGGUAUGUGCCACCACACCCGGCUAAUUUUUGUAUUUUUUUGUAGAGAUGGGUUUUCGCUAUGUUGCCCAGGCUGGUCUCAAAUUCCUGGGCUCAAACAAUCCACCCACCUCUGCCUCCCAAAGUGCUGGGAUUACAGGUGUGAGCCACCAAGCCCAGCCUAGCUCCUCUACCUGAACUUAUUUUUCAUUAUCCUAAAGUGAUAAAAUAGAUCAAGAAGAUCAGAACAGGCUUAAAUUGAUGCUAUAAAACCAAUUACUCUGUAUUAUCUUUGCAACUCUUUUGUAAGUCUAAAAUUGUUUGAAAAUAAAAGUUUAUUUUAAAAAUUACUAUUCUCUUUCCUAUUCAACACAAAACUUAUUUCAUAAAGAUGCUUAC
Molecule: long non-coding RNA, 2726 nt
Filed under: Homo sapiens (human)
Lineage: Eukaryota; Metazoa; Chordata; Mammalia; Primates; Hominidae
Description: HSALNT0111593
Source: RNAcentral